This 1346-nucleotide ribosomal RNA is filed under the name uncultured bacterium. RNAcentral's name for it is "bacterial SSU rRNA". It matches the Rfam family "Bacterial small subunit ribosomal RNA", at positions 28 to 1381 of the family's 1533-position model. The record is from RNAcentral.
GACGAACGUUGGCGGCGUGCUUAACACAUGCAAGUCGAACGGAAAGGCCCUGCUUUUGUGGGGUGCUCGAGUGGCGAACGGGUGAGUAACACGUGAGUAACCUGCCCUUGACUUUGGGAUAACUUCAGGAAACUGGGGCUAAUACCGGAUAGGAGCUCCUGCUGCAUGGUGGGGGUUGGAAAGUUUCGGCGGUUGGGGAUGGACUCGCGGCUUAUCAGCUUGUUAGUGGGGUAGUGGCUUACCAAGGCUUUGACGGGUAGCCGGCCUGAGAGGGUGACCGGCCACAUUGGGACUGAGAUACGGCCCAGACUCCUACGGGAGGCAGCAGUGGGGAAUAUUGCACAAUGGGCGGAAGCCUGAUGCAGCAACGCCGCGUGCGGGAUGACGGCCUUCGGGUUGUAAACCGCUUUCGCCUGUGACGAAGCGUGAGUGACGGUAAUGGGUAAAGAAGCACCGGCUAACUACGUGCCAGCAGCCGCGGUGAUACGUAGGGUGCGAGCGUUGUCCGGAUUUAUUGGGCGUAAAGGGCUCGUAGGUGGUUGAUCGCGUCGGAAGUGUAAUCUUGGGGCUUAACCCUGAGCGUGCUUUCGAUACGGGUUGACUUGAGGAAGGUAGGGGAGAAUGGAAUUCCUGGUGGAGCGGUGGAAUGCGCAGAUAUCAGGAGGAACACCAGUGGCGAAGGCGGUUCUCUGGGCCUUUCCUGACGCUGAGGAGCGAAAGCGUGGGGAGCGAACAGGCUUAGAUACCCUGGUAGUCCACGCUGUAAACGGUGGGUACUAGGUGUGGGGUCCAUUCCACGGGUUCCGUGCCGUAGCUAACGCUUUAAGUACCCCGCCUGGGGAGUACGGCCGCAAGGCUAAAACUCAAAGGAAUUGACGGGGCCCCGCACAAGCGGCGGAGCAUGCGGAUUAAUUCGAUGCAACGCGUAGAACCUUACCUGGGUUUGACAUGGAUCGGGAGUGCUCAGAGAUGGGUGUGCCUCUUUUGGGGUCGGUUCACAGGUGGUGCAUGGCUGUCGUCAGCUCGUGUCGUGAGAUGUUGGGUUAAGUCCCGCAACGAGCGCAACCCUUGUUCACUGUUGCCAGCACGUUAUGGUGGGGACUCAGUGGAGACCGCCGGGGUCAACUCGGAGGAAGGUGGGGAUGACGUCAAGUCAUCAUGCCCCUUAUGUCCAGGGCUUCACGCAUGCUACAAUGGCUGGUACAGAGAGUGGCGAGCCUGUGAGGGUGAGCGAAUCUCGGAAAGCCGGUCUCAGUUCGGAUUGGGGUCUGCAACUCGACCUCAUGAAGUCGGAGUCGCUAGUAAUCGCAGAUCAGCAACGCUGCGGUGAAUACGUUCCCGGGGCU